GAUAUUUGACAAUGGGGGCAACACUGAUCCAGCCAUGCCGCGUGUGUGAAGAAGGUCUUCGGAUUGUAAAGCACUUUAAGUUGGGAGGAAGGGCUUUAGGUUAAUACCCUGAAGUUUUGACGUUACCAACAGAAUACGGACCGGCUAACUCUGUGCGAGCAGCCGCGGUAAUACAGAGGGUGCCAGCGUUAUACGGAAUUACUGGGCGUAAAGCGCGCGUAGGUGGUUCAGUAAGAUGGGUGUGAAAUCCCCGGGCUUAACCUGGGAACUGCUUUCAUAACUGCUGAGCUAGAGUACGGUAGAGGGUAGUGGAAUUUCCUGUGUAGCGGUGAAAUGCGUAGAUAUAGGAAGGAACACCAGUGGCGAAGGCGACUACCUGGACUGAUACUGACACUGAGGUGCGAAAGCGUGGGGAGCAAAC
RNAcentral lists this ribosomal RNA (421 nucleotides) under uncultured bacterium. RNAcentral's name for it is "partial 16S ribosomal RNA". It matches the Rfam family "Bacterial small subunit ribosomal RNA", at positions 359 to 773 of the family's 1533-position model. The record is from RNAcentral.